CAGUAGCCGCGGUAAAACGGAGGGUGCAAGCGUUACUCGGAAUCACUGGGCGUAAAGGACGCGUAGGCGGAUUAUCAGGUCUCUUGUGAAAUCUAACGGCUUAACCGUUAAACUGCUUGGGAAACUGAUAAUCUAGAGUAAGGGAGAGGCAGAUGGAAUUCUUGGUGUAGGGGUAAAAUCCGUAGAGAUCAAGAAGAAUACCCAUUGCGAAAGCGAUCUGCUGGAACUUAACUGACGCUAAUGCGUGAAAGCGUGGGGAGCAAACAGGAUUAGAUACCCGCGUAGUCCCUGUCUCUUAUAC
This 301-nucleotide ribosomal RNA is filed under the name uncultured bacterium. Its description in RNAcentral is "partial 16S ribosomal RNA". It matches the Rfam family "Bacterial small subunit ribosomal RNA", at positions 509 to 807 of the family's 1533-position model. The record is from RNAcentral.